UCCCCGCCUCUCUCUUCCAGCGGCUGCUGCUGCCGAUUCAGACAGCCAUCUUACAGGCUCAGAGCUGCAACAAGACAAAUUCAAAGCAUCUCACUGCAGUUCAGAAAUCACUUGACCUAAAAGCAGACAGAAACCGGAUUGGCUGCGGCUUCCUCUCUCCAAAUAUGAGGUAAAGAAACUGAGGUUCAAGAAAGGUGACUGAUGUGCCCAAGGUUAAAUACCAAGUAAGUUACAAAGCCAGACGUGAACUUCUGCCUGAGACUUUUCAUUUCGACACCAUGUAUGUUACGUCACCUUCUGUACUUGGUUGAAUGAAAUAGAAAGAUCUCCUAUCA
Long non-coding RNA from Ictidomys tridecemlineatus (thirteen-lined ground squirrel), 335 nucleotides. RefSeq lists it as uncharacterized. The record is from RefSeq and is a predicted model, not a curated record. Lineage: Eukaryota; Metazoa; Chordata; Mammalia; Rodentia; Sciuridae.